GGAAGGCAAUCGUGCCCGGUGGCGCGGCCGGGCUUCAAACCCGGUGGGGGGGCGUCAGCCGCUCCCGGGUUGGUUCGACUCCAGCUGCUUUCCGCCA
This 97-nucleotide transfer RNA is filed under the name Comamonas testosteroni TK102. RNAcentral's name for it is "tRNA-SeC (TCA) (tRNA-SeC-TCA-1-1)". It matches the Rfam family "Selenocysteine transfer RNA". The record is from RNAcentral. Lineage: Bacteria; Pseudomonadati; Pseudomonadota; Betaproteobacteria; Burkholderiales; Comamonadaceae.